CGAGUAGUUUGGGGAAUGCUGCUCUAAAUGGGAGGUAUAUGUCUUCUAAACUAAAUACCGGCCAGAGACCGAUAGCGCACAAGUAGAGUGAUCGAAAGAUGAAAAGCACUUUGAAAAGAGAGUUAAAAAGUACGUGAAAUUGUUGAAAGGGAAGCGUUUAUGACCAGACUGGGCUUGGUUAAUCAUCUGGGGUUCUCCCCAGUGCACUUUUCCAGUCCAGGCCAGCAUCAGUUUUCGCCGGGGGAUAAAGGCUUCGGGAAUGUGGCUCUCUCCGGGGAGUGUUAUAGCCCGUUGCGUAAUACCCUGGCGGGGCUGAGGUUCGCGCAUCUGCAAGAUGCUGGCGUAAUGGUCAUCAACGACCCGUCUUGAAACACGGACCAAGGAGUCGUCUUCGUAUGCGAGUGUUCGGGUGUCAAACCCCUACGCGUAAUGAAAGUGAACGCAGGUGAGAGCUUCGGCGCAUCAUCGACCGAUCCUGAUGUUCUCGGAUGAUUUGAGUAAGAGCAUACGGGGCCGGACCCGAAAGAGGUGAACUAUGCCUGUGUAGGGUGAACCAGAGGAAACUCUGGUGGAGGCUCGCAGCGGUUCUGACGUGCAAAUCGAUCGUCAAACAUGGGCAUGGGGGCGAAAGACUAAUCGAACCUUCUAGUAGCUGGUUUCCGCCGAAGUUUCCCUCAGGAUACAGUGUUGAACUCAGUUUUAUGAGGUAAAGCGAAUGAUUAGGGACUCGGGGGCGCUAUUUAGCCUUCAUCCAUUCUCAAACUUUAAAUAUGUAAGAAGCUCUUGUUGCUUAAUUGAACGUGAGCAUUCGAAUGUAUCAACACUAGUGGGCCAUUUUUGGUAAGCAGAACUGGCGAUGCGGGAUGAACCGAACGCGAGGUUAAGGUGCCAGAGUAGACGCUCAUCAGACACCACAAAAGGUGUUCGUACAUCU
RNAcentral lists this ribosomal RNA (934 nucleotides) under Bovista nigrescens. RNAcentral describes it as "partial large subunit ribosomal RNA". It matches the Rfam family "Eukaryotic large subunit ribosomal RNA", at positions 266 to 1234 of the family's 3401-position model. The record is from RNAcentral. Lineage: Eukaryota; Fungi; Basidiomycota; Agaricomycetes; Agaricales; Lycoperdaceae.